Molecule: non-coding RNA, 2892 nt
Organism: Nylanderia fulva
Lineage: Eukaryota; Metazoa; Arthropoda; Insecta; Hymenoptera; Formicidae
Source: RefSeq, a predicted model, not a curated record
UGGUCGGUUUAUUAACACAUUUUAUAUUUUUAUUUCCCUGGCGAUUCAUAAAUUACUCGUAAUUAUAAAUUAUGUAGAGAUAAUUCACUUUCCAUGUCUGAGAAAUAUAACGUGCGUUAACAUGCUUAAUUACAACACGACUUAUUGACUGUCUAAUAACAUUCGUGUCCACGUGCAAAGUGCACGUCAAUAAAUGUUGCAUAUAUAUCUGAGUCUCUUAUUGUUAGCUAGAGAUCACUUUGACAAAGUUUAAACGCAUCACUAAUUCAAAUUAUUAUACGUACAUAAUGCAAACUUAAAUAGAAGUAAAAGUUAAACUGUUAGAAAAGUCGCGAACUAAAAUAUUUUACAAUAUUUAGUCUUCAUAUAAAAACACACAGAUUAUGAGAAUCACUUCUAUAGAAAAAAAGAUUAUAGCGAUUUAAUUGUUAUUAUAUGCUCUACCACUUUGUUCAUAGUUAGACUAUUUAUGUCCACCCGGAAAAUCAAUCUCUAAAAUUAAAGAAAGAGCAAAAAUCGCAGUGUAAUGAAGCCUCAACGAUUUCCUUUGCAGCUGUUCUCGUGAAUAUUCACGCGGUCCGGAUUAAAGGUUCUUCCACAAUGCUUACACGGUACCAGCUGGCUCAAAUGUGUCAUCCAGUUGGCCUCCGUCGUCGCCGCCUGAUCAACCAUCAUAUUUCCCGUCCGGGAAUCUUCUGCGAACAGUGAAGUCAUCAUUGCAGAAUGUAUCGUACCUUGAAAAGUGUAGAUAAAAUCUUAAAAAGGCGGCACUUUUGACCAGGAAUAAUCUGCGGUGUAUAAUAAAUCAGGCCUACACCCACUUCCAUUCCAUGACGGUGCAUAAAACGAACGCAUUAUGGAUUCAUACAUCAUACAUGCACGCGUAAUCGCUUUGGUAACCGAUUGAUUGACUAAGUACUUGACGUAUUACUCUUGACCCUGACAGCGGACAGAAUGCAUCUCAAGGUUUUUGCGGCUCCUUUCUUCUUCGGCUCGGCGACAAUUUGUCAUUCUCGGCGUGCCAUUUCUUCAAGCACUGCGGCUCGUGAAUGGCGAUACUGGAGGACCCGAAAUCUCUACCGCAAAUGACGCACCGGAUACGUCGACGAAGCUCCCUGGUUUCCGGCCGAUUUUUGUCUAUGGACGGUCAAGUGAUCUUUUUGCUCGCUUUCUGCGGAAUUAUUCUGCAUCUGCCAUCGUCUACUGCACUGAGGCUCAUGGAUUUUGAUGCUUCUGGUGCCGAAAUUUCGUCCGCAAAUCUGACAGGCAACUGUUGGCGGCACAUUGCGCCCGUUCGACGGCGUGGACAGUCGUUCGUUAUUCUGGAGAAAACACAAAUGAUGAGAAGAAGAUAUAAAAUCUGAAGAUUAUUGAAGAAAAGCUUCAGUACCUUCGGUGUAGCCUUACAGCUUCUCUCGUGGACCGGCAGUCGUUCCGGCAAAAAUGUCCUUCCGCACUUUGCGCAUGGAAUUAAUUGCUCCUGAAAAAUCCAGAUUUUCAUGUCUUUGAUCAUCAAAAAAGGAGGUUCGUGAAUGGGGAAACUGGCGGUGCCGAAUUCCCGGCCACAAAUGUAGCACGUGAUCGUCUUGGGGCCCCGUUUCGCGGACGACGACCUGACCUGCCGACCCGAGUCCUGGGCAGAAGGAUCCUGAGAAGCGACCGGCCUUGUCUCGUCCGAUCUGUUCCUGUUCCGGUCGCUGCGGAAGUUCAACGCCACCGGCUUCUGGAUCGACUUGGGCACCGGCGGCACCGCGGGCUUCGGCUUCAUCGUCGACGUCGGGAUGUCCUUGAUCUUGGUCUGACUGCCCUUCGGAUGACUGUGAAAUCGCUCCGGCUGAUCCGGACGUCCGCAGGUCUUGCACGGCUCCGGAGCGCUCCUCGUCGACGACGCCGCAGCGGUGAAUAUCUCCAGAUCGCUCGGCAAACCCGCCCGCGAGUUCCUCUUCUUCACCGAGGACAGCACUUUGGGAGGACCAUUUCUAGUCGUAUAGAUAGAUUCAAAUAGACAUAUAAAAGUAAAUGGCUCAUCUAUGAAACAAAUAAUAAUCAGAUCACCGACCUAUUAUUAUUAUCGUCGAGUUUCCGGACAUCAAGGUUCCGUGUCGCGGGUCCUGCGGGUGACGUGAUCUUCUGACCUCCGGUGGGCGAUCGCGAUCGAUCGAUCUCCUCCAUCUGACGAUCUGUCAUCGUCGCGGUCCGCGGGCCGCGGAUCUGCUCGAAACUCCGUCGCUGGCGGUGCGUCACUGGAGCGUCUUCGCGGGACGACCACGAAGAGGUGGACGUGGCGGGGACGGCUGCGCUUCGGCGGCGUCGUCGUCGUGUCGCCGAUGGCGAUGACGACACCAGCAACAACGACGAUGCGGAUGUCGUGGUGUCUCCGCCGCUCGACUUGCUCACGUUCCGGGUAGACUGAUGGAACCGCGUCAUCGAGUCGCACAGCAGCUCCUUGCUCAGCAGCGACAUAUCCAGCUUGUCCACGAGCGCGGGAUCCAGGACGCUCGGCCGCGCGAGAUUCGCCGUCUUCGGCCGCUCCGGCUCUUCCGCGCGGAACCCGUCCGUCCGUUUCAUCUUCGGCGGCCAGGUGCCGGUGUUGCUGGCCGCAUUUCUUGGCGUCGUCCUUUUGUCAUCCGUCCUCUUAGUCGCACCUGUUCAGACGAUACUCUAUUGUUGAUUACGAUGAACGCCGAUGUCAUUACGCGUGUUACAUUAGUUAAUAUCCAUUAGAAAAGAGCUAUAAUUAUUGUAAAAAAUUUCUCACAAUUGUUUUUUCUUUUUUUAAAGAUCUCAGAUUAAUGUACACUGGGAUUAUUAAAUAUAAUUGAUAAUUUAACGUUUGUAUAAGUGGAUAACGGAAAUUAAACUUGAUAAGAUCGAAAAAAUGUACUAGGAAAU